Molecule: transfer RNA, 74 nt
Filed under: Chaca bankanensis (angler catfish)
Lineage: Eukaryota; Metazoa; Chordata; Actinopteri; Siluriformes; Chacidae
Description: tRNA-Lys
Rfam family: tRNA
About the family: Transfer RNA (tRNA) molecules are approximately 80 nucleotides in length. Their secondary structure includes four short double-helical elements and three loops (D, anti-codon, and T loops).
Source: RNAcentral
CACUAGAAAGCUAAACAGGGCCUAGCGUUAGCCUUUUAAGCUAAAAGUUGGUGACUCCCAACCACCUCCAGUGA